GAUGAACGCUGGCGGCGUGCUUAACACAUGCAAGUCGAACGGAAAGGCUCCUGCUUGCAGGGGUACUCGAGUGGCGAACGGGUGAGUAACACGUGGGUGAUCCGCCCUGCACUUCGGGAUAAGCCUGGGAAACUGGGUCUAAUACCGGAUAGGACGAUGGUUUGGAUGCCAUUGUGGAAAGUUUUUCGGUGUGGGAUGAGCUCGCGGCCUAUCAGCUUGUUGGUGGGGUAAUGGCCUACCAAGGCGUCGACGGGUAGCCGGCCUGAGAGGGUGUACGGCCACAUUGGGACUGAGAUACGGCCCAGACUCCUACGGGAGGCAGCAGUGGGGAAUAUUGCACAAUGGGCGCAAGCCUGAUGCAGCGACGCCGCGUGGGGGAUGACGGCCUUCGGGUUGUAAACUCCUUUCGCUAGGGACGAAGCGCAAGUGACGGUACCUGGAGAAGAAGCACCGGCUAACUACGUG
Molecule: ribosomal RNA, 465 nt
Filed under: uncultured bacterium
Lineage: Bacteria
Description: partial 16S ribosomal RNA
Rfam family: Bacterial small subunit ribosomal RNA
Source: RNAcentral